UAUUUUUUUCUGCCGACCCUAUUAUUUUUUCAACGCGAUUGACUGUGCGACACUAUUUUCUCCAGGUGGUUGCGGGCUACUGCCAAAAUGGCGUCUGUUGUGUCACACUAAUUAUUGAAAAAACCAUGAAAAAAAUAUUUAAAAAAAAAAUUAUUUCCGAUCUACUGACCCUAAUUUUUUCGCGAUAUGAAACCGGAACCACAGGUAUUUUUUUUUACGCCUUAGACAGAUUGGAAUAAUAAAGUAAGGUGCAUCAGGGCACAUUGCCAGUCAAGGGUUAAAUGCUUGACAUUGACAGCUGGGAAGUUUGACAAGUUAAAAAAUAAGUUUAGCAAGAAUAAUUGGUUGAAGUUCGAAUGAACUGCUGUACGGAAUAUAUUCAAUAGUGACAAUAUUAAAGAUGCUGUAAUGUCCGUAAUGUAAACAAAAGCUUUGUUUACAUUUUGAACUGCUGUAUUUGUAAAAUAUGAUAUAAGUCUAUUAACGGAAUACCCAAC
Paramuricea clavata is the source of this 497-nucleotide non-coding RNA. Lineage: Eukaryota; Metazoa; Cnidaria; Anthozoa; Malacalcyonacea; Plexauridae. The record is from the annotation of a GenBank genome assembly.